Molecule: ribosomal RNA, 469 nt
Filed under: uncultured eukaryote
Lineage: Eukaryota
Description: bacterial SSU rRNA
Rfam family: Eukaryotic small subunit ribosomal RNA
Source: RNAcentral
GUACGUGACGACGCGACCGACGCCGGCGGACGGCGACGGCGUUCUCGCCGGAUGUAGGAACCGACCCGGGGACCGCCGGGGCAACCCGGCGCCCCCGAGACGGGGCGAACCACGGUGAAAUGACGGAUCGUCGGCCCCGCGCCGGCGACUCGCCGAAUGAGUUUCUGACCUAUCAACUCGAGACGGCGGGGUAGAGGCCCGCCGCGGUAACGACGGGUAACGGGGAAUCAGGGUUCGAUUCCGGAGAGGGAGCCCGAGAAACGGCUACCACUUCCAAGGAAGGCAGCAGGCGCGCAACUUACCCUAAUCUCGAUUCGAGGAGGUAGUGACAAGAAAUACCGAUGCGGGACCCUACGGGUGCCGCGUUCGGAAUGAGUACGAUUCGAACCACCUAACGAGGAACGAUCGGAGGGCAAGUCUGGUGCCAGCAGCCGCGGUAAUUCCAGCUCCAAUAGCGUACGUUAAAGUU